Molecule: non-coding RNA, 108 nt
Organism: Heterocephalus glaber (naked mole-rat)
Lineage: Eukaryota; Metazoa; Chordata; Mammalia; Rodentia; Bathyergidae
Source: Rfam
AUCUAUGGCCAUACCACCCUGAAUGUGCCUAAUCUUGUCUGAUCUCAGAAGCUAAGCAGGGUCGGGCCUGGUUAGUACUUGGAUGGGAGAAUAUUUUUCCCAUUUUCU